This 75-nucleotide transfer RNA is filed under the name Rickettsiales bacterium. RNAcentral describes it as "tRNA-His". It matches the Rfam family "tRNA". From Rfam's summary of the family: Transfer RNA (tRNA) molecules are approximately 80 nucleotides in length. Their secondary structure includes four short double-helical elements and three loops (D, anti-codon, and T loops). Lineage: Bacteria; Pseudomonadati; Pseudomonadota; Alphaproteobacteria; Rickettsiales. The record is from RNAcentral.
GUGGGUAUAGUUCAACGGUAGAACAACUGUAUGUGGAACAGUGGGCUCUCUGUUCGAAUCAGGGUAUCCACCCCA